This 253-nucleotide ribosomal RNA is filed under the name uncultured bacterium. RNAcentral's name for it is "partial 16S ribosomal RNA". It matches the Rfam family "Bacterial small subunit ribosomal RNA", at positions 524 to 776 of the family's 1533-position model. The record is from RNAcentral.
UACGUAGGGUGCAAGCGUUGUCCGGAAUUAUUGGGCGUAAAGAGCUCGUAGGCGGUUUGUCGCGUCUGCUGUGAAAACGCGAGGCUCAACCUCGCGCCUGCAGUGGGUACGGGCAGACUAGAGUGCGGUAGGGGAGAUUGGAAUUCCUGGUGUAGCGGUGGAAUGCGCAGAUAUCAGGAGGAACACCGAUGGCGAAGGCAGAUCUCUGGGCCGUAACUGACGCUGAGGAGCGAAAGCCAGGGGAGCGAACGGG